AUGUAGUGUGACAUGCCCGUUUGGGAUUUACUCUGAUUUAUAAUUAUCAUUUAAUUGAUUUUGGGCAACGGGGUGUUACAAAA
This 83-nucleotide microRNA precursor is filed under the name Medicago truncatula (barrel medic). RNAcentral describes it as "MIR2617 microRNA precursor family". It matches the Rfam family "MIR2617 microRNA precursor family". The record is from Rfam by way of RNAcentral. Lineage: Eukaryota; Viridiplantae; Streptophyta; Magnoliopsida; Fabales; Fabaceae.